AUUUAUUUUUGUCUAUAAUAGAAAGGACCUUCAGAGACAAUGUUAUGUUGUAUAAGUUAAAUUGUCACAGUCUUUGCAUCUAUUCUUAAGUCUACCAUCACUUCAUUUCAUGUCCUCAUGAAUGCCCUUCCAUAAUAUUGUUAUAGCAUUCCAGUUGGCCUUUCCAUAUUCAGUAUUUUUUCUUUCUAAGUUCUGCACUAAUCUUCUUGAAACCUUGAUGCCAUCCUUUUGCUCCUCAUUCAAAAACGUUCCAUGGUUUUUCUUUGCCUUUUGCAUUAAGCCAAACUCUUCAGCCUUACAUUAAAGCCCAUUAUUACUAUUGUUACUGACAAUCCAAACAAAAUUGGAAUAAAUAUAUUUUCCUAAAUUUCCCACCUCUGUGCCUUUUCUCAUUCUGUUUCCUUCACCUAGAAAUCUCUCUAAUUGCUAGAAAAAAAACUAUUCAUCUAUCAAUGUCUCUCUCAAAUGCUAUUAUCUUUUUGUUGCCCUAUAGUUCUUAGGACCAUAGGAUGAAAUGUUGCUCUAGGAUGAUAAGACUGAGAACUCAAAAGAGCCAAAGAAAUCAUUCAGUCCCAAGUUUUCAUUUUUAAUUUUGAGGAAAUAAGAUCUGAAGCACUAUGCCUUGACAAAAGUCACAAAAAGAAUAAUCAACAGACACAGGAUAAAAUCCCUGUGGGGUAUGAAUUAAUUUGGUGGAGGGACUACCAAUACCACAGAAAGUUUCAAAGUAUAGAGCUGUAUAUACUUAUAAACAGAGGCUUGCCUCAUAAGUAAAACUGUUUCCAUGGAAACUGGGUGAUCCAGAUAUGGGUCUGGGAGUUGGCCAGACUCUCCAGAAUUCCCUAGACCACAGCAGUCUUGUUCUUGAACUUGAAGAGUUCAGGGGAGAGAAGCAAGAGUGCUAUGGGAGAGAAAACAUGAUGCCGUGCUGAUGAAAGUCAUUAAAUGUGUGGAGGAAGAGGGAAGAGAAGCAAAGUGUCUUUGACUGAUGCCAUCUAUCAACUAGUAGAAACUGAGAGAUGACCAAAGUAAAAAACAGAACAAGAAAAUGGAGACUACAGAGCAAGAGCUAAUCCGGAUGUUACUGGCCUCACGUUUUUAUCUCAAGGGAGCUCCCAAACUAAUCAAGGGGACAACAUUGAAACUACUCUGCAUAUAUGAAGAAAAAUUGAUGCAAGAAGAUGUUGUUACUUGCUCAGAGUCACACAUCUAGCCUGAGGAAGACUGUAAUCAUGUUUCUUUAGUCAAAACAAGCAAUUUAUAUACCAUGUGGACAACA
Molecule: long non-coding RNA, 1279 nt
Organism: Monodelphis domestica (gray short-tailed opossum)
Lineage: Eukaryota; Metazoa; Chordata; Mammalia; Didelphimorphia; Didelphidae
Source: RefSeq, a predicted model, not a curated record